Molecule: non-coding RNA, 71 nt
Organism: Heligmosomoides polygyrus
Lineage: Eukaryota; Metazoa; Nematoda; Chromadorea; Rhabditida; Heligmosomidae
Source: Rfam
GCGCCGGUGGUGUAAGGCGAACAUCGCUGCCCGAAAAGCAAAAGAUGCGGGUUCGAGUCCCGCCUGGCGCA